GCUGAACUUGAAACUUUGAAUGAUGUCAUUGGUUUUCUGAUAUGUGAAAAGCAUUCAAGACUUCUUGAAAGGCCUCCUGAUCUGGCUUGCAAACGUGGAAGUAUUCUCCAGAAGUCGCCUGCUACAGAUACAUUGACAAUUAUCACCGACAAUGAUUGGAAGUUGUUUUGUGAAGACUGGGGUGGUACGGAGGCAAAAGGAAUUACAGCUGAAAUUGAUUGCUUGGGGAAUGAUUUCCUUGGAUUUAGUGAAGAUAUGGAAAUUUUUGAGGAGCAUAUGAAUUUGAAUGACGAGACGAUUGUUGGACCUGAGUCUAGAAAAUUCAUCAUUAAGAUUUCACCAGAGGUUUGUGAGGAGUGCAUUGCUGAAAGGAAAAGCUGUGAAU
RNAcentral lists this unclassified non-coding RNA (385 nucleotides) under Hevea brasiliensis (rubber tree). Lineage: Eukaryota; Viridiplantae; Streptophyta; Magnoliopsida; Malpighiales; Euphorbiaceae. The record is from RNAcentral.